This 751-nucleotide ribosomal RNA is filed under the name uncultured Actinomyces sp. Its description in RNAcentral is "bacterial SSU rRNA". It matches the Rfam family "Bacterial small subunit ribosomal RNA", at positions 28 to 776 of the family's 1533-position model. The record is from RNAcentral. Lineage: Bacteria; Bacillati; Actinomycetota; Actinomycetes; Actinomycetales; Actinomycetaceae.
GACGAACGCUGGCGGCGUGCUUAACACAUGCAAGUCGAACGCUGAAGCCCAGCUUGCUGGGUGGAUGAGUGGCGAACGGGUGAGUAACACGUGAGUAACCUGCCCCCUUCUUUGGGAUAACGCCCGGAAACGGGUGCUAAUACUGGAUAUUCACUGGCCUUCGCAUGGGGGUUGGUGGAAAGGUUUUUUCUGGUGGGGGAUGGGCUCGCGGCCUAUCAGCUUGUUGGUGGGGUGAUGGCCUACCAAGGCUUUGACGGGUAGCCGGCCUGAGAGGGUGACCGGUCACAUUGGAACUGAGAUACGGUCCAAACUCCUACGGGAGGCAGCAGUGGGGAAUAUUGCACAAUGGGCGAAAGCCUGAUGCAGCGACGCCGCGUGAGGGAUGACGGCCUUCGGGUUGUAAACCUCUUUCGCUCAUGGUCAAGCCGCAGCUUUGGGUUGUGGUGAGGGUAGUGGGUAAAGAAGCGCCGGCUAACUACGUGCCAGCAGCCGCGGUAAUACGUAGGGCGCGAGCGUUGUCCGGAAUUAUUGGGCGUAAAGGGCUUGUAGGCGGUUGGUCGCGUCUGCCGUGAAAUCCUCUGGCUUAACUGGGGGCGUGCGGUGGGUACGGGCUGACUUGAGUGCGGUAGGGGAGACUGGAACUCCUGGUGUAGCGGUGGAAUGCGCAGAUAUCAGGAAGAACACCGGUGGCGAAGGCGGGUCUCUGGGCCGUUACUGACGCUGAGGAGCGAAAGCGUGGGGAGCGAACAGG